Molecule: transfer RNA, 71 nt
Filed under: Lepidothrix coronata (blue-crowned manakin)
Lineage: Eukaryota; Metazoa; Chordata; Aves; Passeriformes; Pipridae
Description: tRNA-Val
Source: RNAcentral
CAAGACGUAGCUAUAAUAAAAGCAUUCAGCUUACACCUGAAAGAUAUCUGUUCCAUACCAGAUCGCCUUGA